GUGCUUGUUCGGCAGCAUAUACACUAAAUUUAACAGGAUAUAGAGGAGAGUGGCAUGGUUUCUGCAUAAAGAUGCCAUGCAAAUUUGUUAAGUAAACAAAGAUUGU
This is a small nuclear RNA of Jaculus jaculus (lesser Egyptian jerboa), 106 nucleotides long. NCBI's taxonomy places the organism in Eukaryota, Metazoa, Chordata, Mammalia, Rodentia, Dipodidae. The record is from RefSeq and is a predicted model, not a curated record.